GCACCCCUGACAAGACACGAGCCCACCACCUAAUGAGCGCCCGGCUAUCUCUAGCCCGGUAAGUACACCACCGAGGCUCCCUACCCGUUGACGAACGCUUACAGUCUUCUUUCCAGUGUGGUGGCGUACCCAGCAGCUUGUCUGCUGACAGCGGCUGUAGUCUAUUAGGCACCUCCUCCCAUCCACGUCAGCCUACGAGCAUGGGCAGUUGCCACCUCCGCCAACACCGGUUGUGUUUGGAAACGGCGAAUGGCACCCCGGCUACUAUCCCCUACCACCGCCGUCGCGUUAGGUUGCCCUGGAGGUGGUCUUUGAAGCGCCGCCAUAUCGUCACGACGGACGACUGUAAGAUAACAGCCUCCACAACUGCUGCGGGAGGGGUGCAUGAUAAAUAGCCACUACUCACACUUGAAUUACCGCAGUAGAGAAACGAAUGGCCCCAUCUACUUCCUGCUGGGCAGUCAAGCGUGUUGAAUGAAGGGAGACGUACCGGCGCCCAUCUCGAUUCGUGUGCCGCUCCCUCUUUGUGUUUCGUUUCAGUGCAGUCUUCUGUUGCAUCGACUUCUCUUUCACAAGGAAGCUCUUUUCCUGUUUGCGGUGCCGAGAGCUCAUUUCAUUGGCCGCUUGUGGAAACCAGCGGCAGUGCUCUGCCUUUUCACCCCUUUCCCGUGCAGUCACUUCACCCCCUCUCUGCUCACGGCGCUAAUUUCCUUUUUUUCUUUCGUUUUGUGUCGUCCGUUUUUUCUUUUCCUUUCGCUCCAG
Molecule: unclassified non-coding RNA, 762 nt
Filed under: Leishmania donovani
Lineage: Eukaryota; Euglenozoa; Kinetoplastea; Trypanosomatida; Trypanosomatidae
Description: gene:unknown
Source: RNAcentral